CAGCCGUAAACUAUGCGCGUUAGGUGUUGGGGUCCUUAGUGGGCGCCCAGUGCCGGAGAGAAGUUGUUAAGCCUGCUGCUUGGGGAGUAUGUCCGCAAGGAUGAAACUUAAAGGAAUUGGCGGGGGAGGCACCGCAACGGGAGGAGCGUGCGGUUCAAUUGGAUUCAACGCCGGACAACUCACCAGGAGCGACGGUUACAUGAAGGCCAGGCUGAUGACCUUGCCUGAUUUUUCCGAGAGGAGGUGCAUGGCGUAGUCGUGU
Molecule: ribosomal RNA, 262 nt
Filed under: uncultured archaeon
Lineage: Archaea
Description: partial 16S ribosomal RNA
Rfam family: Archaeal small subunit ribosomal RNA
Source: RNAcentral